Molecule: ribosomal RNA, 838 nt
Filed under: Staphylococcus sp. I8-CRBM-T3P21
Lineage: Bacteria; Bacillati; Bacillota; Bacilli; Caryophanales; Staphylococcaceae
Description: bacterial SSU rRNA
Rfam family: Bacterial small subunit ribosomal RNA
Source: RNAcentral
GCUAUACAUGCAGUCGAGCGAACGGAUAAGGAGCUUGCUCCUUUGAAGUUAGCGGCGGACGGGUGAGUAACACGUGGGUAACCUACCUAUAAGACUGGGAUAACUUCGGGAAACCGGAGCUAAUACCGGAUAACAUUUAGAACCGCAUGGUUCUAAAGUGAAAGAUGGUUUUGCUAUCACUUAUAGAUGGACCCGCGCCGUAUUAGCUAGUUGGUAAGGUAACGGCUUACCAAGGCGACGAUACGUAGCCGACCUGAGAGGGUGAUCGGCCACACUGGAACUGAGACACGGUCCAGACUCCUACGGGAGGCAGCAGUAGGGAAUCUUCCGCAAUGGGCGAAAGCCUGACGGAGCAACGCCGCGUGAGUGAUGAAGGGUUUCGGCUCGUAAAACUCUGUUAUUAGGGAAGAACAAAUGUGUAAGUAACUGUGCACAUCUUGACGGUACCUAAUCAGAAAGCCACGGCUAACUACGUGCCAGCAGCCGCGGUAAUACGUAGGUGGCAAGCGUUAUCCGGAAUUAUUGGGCGUAAAGCGCGCGUAGGCGGUUUCUUAAGUCUGAUGUGAAAGCCCACGGCUCAACCGUGGAGGGUCAUUGGAAACUGGGAAACUUGAGUGCAGAAGAGGAAAGUGGAAUUCCAUGUGUAGCGGUGAAAUGCGCAGAGAUAUGGAGGAACACCAGUGGCGAAGGCGACUUUCUGGUCUGUAACUGACGCUGAUGUGCGAAAGCGUGGGGAUCAAACAGGAUUAGAUACCCUGGUAGUCCACGCCGUAAACGAUGAGUGCUAAGUGUUAGGGGGUUUCCGCCCCUUAGUGCUGCAGCUAACGCAUUAAGCACU